UUGCACUGGGAUGCAAAAGGAAAUUAAUCCCAGCGCUUUCUUUCUAUCUUGGUGACAGCAGGACUGAAUAGAGGAGAACAUUU
RNAcentral lists this small nucleolar RNA (83 nucleotides) under Sorex araneus (European shrew). RNAcentral's name for it is "Small nucleolar RNA SNORA31 (ENSSARG00000019575.1)". Lineage: Eukaryota; Metazoa; Chordata; Mammalia; Eulipotyphla; Soricidae. The record is from RNAcentral.